GAUGAACGCUGGCGGCGUGCUUAACACAUGCAAGUCGAACGGUGAAGGCGGAGCUUGCUCUGCUGGAUCAGUGGCGAAAGGGUGAGUAACACGUGAGCAAUCUGCCCCUGACUCUGGGAUAAGCGCUGGAAACGGCGUCUAAUACUGGAUACGAGCUGCGAAGGCAUCUUCAGCAGCUGGAAAGAACUUCGGUCAGGGAUGAGCUCGCGGCCUAUCAGCUUGUUGGUGAGGUAACGGCUCACCAAGGCGUCGACGGGUAGCCGGCCUGAGAGGGUGACCGGCCACACUGGGACUGAGACACGGCCCAGACUCCUACGGGAGGCAGCAGUGGGGAAUAUUGCACAAUGGGCGAAAGCCUGAUGCAGCAACGCCGCGUGAGGGACGACGGCCUUCGGGUUGUAAACCUCUUUUAGCAGGGAAGAAGCGAAAGUGACGGUACCUGCAGAAAAAGCGCCGGCUAACUACGUG
Molecule: ribosomal RNA, 468 nt
Filed under: uncultured bacterium
Lineage: Bacteria
Description: partial 16S ribosomal RNA
Rfam family: Bacterial small subunit ribosomal RNA
Source: RNAcentral